AGAGACAGCGUGGAGCGGAGGAGGCCUGCAACGACAAGUUUGGAGAAAAAGAUGCCGUUUGUAGACGAAGCGGUUGAUGCGAAAGCUGACGACUUCAUCAACAGGUUUAAGCAGCAAUUAAAGUUGCAGAGGCUGGACUCUCUUCUGCGUUACAGAGACAUGCUAAGAGGCAAAUAAUAAUUAAAAAAAAAAAAGAGGAUAAAUUUUGUACAAACCACCCACUUUCUGUUUAUAUUUCUCAGCUAGCUUUGUUUACUUGCUGGGCCUGUACUGUUGUUUCUUCAAGAACGAAGACGCUGAUAGGAUCGGAAUGGAAGAACGCAGAAGCAAAAGGCUUACAUGUGUGUCGCUGUUGGAUGUGACGAAGAGCAGUGCACCGAAAGAUGAAACUGGAAUGACUGAAAUGAUUUCAGUUUUUUUUUUUUUUUCUGGCCUUUGCUUUUGCUGAUGACGAGGAUAUUUCCGAUAUUUUGUUUAUUUGCUAUUGUCUUUAUUAGGCUCGUCAAUAAGAUGGUCAAGGGUUGUAUUUGUGUGGACUGAUUGUUAUAAAAGUUGGGUUCUAAUUUGAAGGCCAUAAUAAUCAACUUGCGCCGGCAUGUCACGUGGGUACUAGGAAACUAAAAAUGAUUAGUAACUCGUGUUAAUAUUAAUUAGAAAAUAUUGAAAUUAGAAUACUAAAAUAAAAAAAAUAUUGAGAUUAGUUACACUGCUAUACAAGUAAUUGUUCCCAUUACUCUAAAAAAACAUUAUUAGCCAGCUAAUCUAAUAUUUCUCACGACAAAAAAAAAAAAAAAAAAAAAAAAAAAGGAAAAAGGACAGUGCAAUCAAGACCACGUGAAUUUACCUGUGCAUAAAAGUCUUCAUGGGCCUGGGAAUUUCCGGCCUGAUAUAAAAAUAUAGGAUCAAAUAUAUAUUUCUACUGUAUCAUAUGGCAAACCAAUAAUUAAUUGUCAUUUGAAAAAAUUACCACACUUUAUUAUUUUUCUUCCAAUAAAAAAAAAUAUUUACUUGCGCCAAUUGGUUUUAUUGAAUUUACUGUAUGUUUAUUUUUUGUACUAUAAAGCUACGCUGUCUAUUGGCGUAGCCUAAAGUCAUAUUGACAAUGAUAUUCAUCUUCGAUGGUUAGGUAAUUUAUCGGGUGGAAUCAAAAUAAAUUGUGUUCGUUUUUCAACUCUACUGUCCUUUUCAUUUGAAUUUUUGGACCUAGGACUUAGUUGCUCAUCUUUCACUUUUACCAUCUUCUUAUAAUUUAUAACAGUAAGGUCAGUUCCUUUGGCAAUUGGCAUAUCUGUCUACAAUGUAUGAUUCCAUGGAUCAUGAUUAGAACUUUUUUCACGAUUUACAAUCCUUUAGUGUCUGUUUAAGUGAUUUUCAUUUACUAAAUAAAAUGGAUAGAUUUAUAUUAAAGAAAAAGGGGUUUAACAUGGUAAGUAAACCAACGAGAAGUCGGAUUCACUGGUGUAGAUUGCAUUUCCAGAAGAAUUUUACUUUUUAUUCCUAUUUUAUAUCAGUUCAAAGAAAAAAAUUUAAUAUUUUAUAUAUUUUGUAAUUGAAUGUGAAAAAUGAGUCUAAUUGAUCAAGAAUAGAUUUCUAUUUCAUGUGUAAUAAUAAAAGGAGUUGAGGUUUUCAGGAUGUAAUUCAUUGGAGAAAAUUUUAAAACAUUCUAACCGAAAUCACCAGAUUCGAUAACGAUGUGCUUUCAAAUCUUCAAAUUCAAAAUCCAGCAAUCAAUGAACUCUCGCAGCAUUAACGCUAUUCAUCUUCCAUAGACAAGAUGAUACCUGGACAGUACAGUACUGGUCGCGUCACAUCUGAAAAUUAAAGUUAACAUAAAGAACAUAGAACGGGAAUAUUAUUAUUUCGUUCCUGACUGGAUAUUUAUAUAUAUAUUUAUAACAUUUCUGAUAUUUACUACCGUCAUAUUAAUUGGUCAUUCUGUAAAAAAAAAUAUACUUUUUCCGUUAAUUUUGAGAGGAAAAAACGAAAUUAUCCUUUGGAAAAAUAAUUAUUUCGUUCCUGAGGUUUUCCAUAAUUAUUAAAUAGUCCCCAACAUUUAUACAAAUAUUUAUAAAUCCCUGAGGUUUACUUCCGUCAUAUUAAUUGGUCAUUCUAUAAAAAAAAUACACUUUUUCCGUUCAUUUUGAGCGAAAAAGAUGAAAUUAUCCUUUCUAAAUUUUCAUUGACAUUAGUGUCAGUCACUUUCCUCUAAAAUGCCUGAAACUCAAAUUUUCAACAUCUUUCUCAACCCAAUGCGGUCUUCAUUGCCACCACUGUGUCUCUGUCAAGUAUCAUCUCCAUAAGCAGAUCACCAACAAAACUAAAAGGGAAAAUAUUUAUAACGUCUCUGAGGUUAUUUUCGUCAUAUUACUUAGUUCUUCCGUCCAAAAAACACACUUUUUGGUGUUAAUUUUUAAUAGAAUGACCAAACUAAUCUAAAUCCUCUAAUCAAGGAGAGAGAGAGAUAAAUGGAUGAAGGGUGAUAAUGGCUCGAUUGAGUUCGGAUGUUGGAUUUUAGUUUUGGUGGUGAUCUGGUUAUGGAGAUGAUAGUUUUCAUUGACACGUUGGUGGCAAUAAAGCCCGCGUUGGGUUGAGAAAGAUGGUGAAAAUGUGAGUUUUAGGUAUUUUAGAGGAAAGAUAUUAAUAAUGUCAAUGAAAACUUAUAAAGGAUAGUUUCAUAUUUUCCACUCAAAAUUAAAGGAAAAAGUGUAUUUUUUUUAUGGAAGGACCAAUUAAUAUGACGAAAGUAAACCUCAGGGACGUUAUAAAUAUUUAUAUAAAUGUCGGGGUCUACUUAAUAAUUAUGGCAAACUUCGGGGAUGAAAUAAUUAUUUUUUCAAAGGAUAAUUUCGUCUUUUCUUCUCAAAAUUAACGGAAAAAGAAUAUUUUUUUUACGGAAAGACCAAUUAAUAUGACGGUGGCAAACCUCACGGAUGUUAUAAAUAUAUAUAUAAAUAUCGAAGACUACUUAAAUAAUUAUGUAAAAUCUCAGGGACGAAAUAAUAAUUUUCCCAAUUUAGACAUUUCACGGGCGAACAACAAGAGGUCUGGGUGGUGGUGUAGUGGGUUAUCACGCUAAUCUCGCACUCUAAAGGACCUACUCAGACAUUCCAGUUAUUUCAUGUGCUGUUACUACUGUAAUCUUCCACAACUGUUUUAACGUUCUCUAAAUGGGCCAGCUUCAGCCACACACUCUCUGGUCUCUGCUCUUAAUUGUGAAAUAAUCUUAUUAACUUUGACCCAUUUCCCUUCAAAUAACUCUUAAAACAAAAUGUUAUAUAUUUUUCCAUUGUCGUCUGCCUCUGAAAAGAGAAGGGUAGUAGUUGUUUACCAGUGUUCUCCAGGUGGUUCCUUGCUCUUUGCAAGAGCAUGUUCUUCCUGAUAGGAUUCCAUCACUUGGCCCAUGGACAAAAUUACACCUUCUUUCUUCUACGUUGGCUGACGAUUGUAUCCAUUUUAGGAAAAAAUUACAAAAUUAAAGCGUAAAAAUAUUGUAUAUACUCACCUUUCAUUGUUAAGUUUAUGCUCAAAUGCUUGAUUUAUAAUUUAAAAGAUUCAGCAAUUCAGGUUCUAAUACUCCAUCUUUUCAGAAAUUAUUGUUUUGCCAUAUAAUUUUAAGAGUAUUUAAUUUGACAAUAUCAUUAUAAAAUACAAAAUCUUGGAAACACACCUUAGAAUCAGAAGCAUCAAGUUGAGGCUGCAACGGCGACAAUGUCAAUAAAGAAGAGAUUGGCGUCUCUGGCCGCUGAUCUUGUUCUCGCCGUCGAAAAAACAUUAGUAGUGGAUUAACAGCACAGAGUUGCUUCUAAUUAAAACUGUAUUUGAGACUUGAGGUUAUGGACAAUGCCUAGGCAGCCAUGGACAGGGUCAUUAUGCCUCGCCAUUACUUUCUAUCAAGAUCGACUCAGCAGCUGCUUUUCUGUGCUGUGGCUGCACCGAAUUCAGGAUUUUCAAAAUGUUGCUCACGCCAAAUAGCUUGUGAGCAUUUUGGAAUUCAGCAUAUCUAUUGGCAGAAAAAUACGGAGCUAAUUCACAACUGUCAUUGCAUCUUUUCCUUUGGUGCCUACAAGAGGCACAAGCCUGAGAAAUUCCUGUGCUCACAUUGUCUUUCUUCAUUUUACUUGUAUCCUGACCUGAGAAAAUUUAAAUUUAUACUAAUAAUAAUAGAUUGACACAGAAAUAAAAGAUUUGAUGCGUCAUUUUUUUAUAUAGAAAUUUAAGCAAUUAAAUAAUCGGAUAUUAAAAUAUUGGAUGUGUUUUAGAAGAUUUUUUAUAUCUAAAUUUUAACGGGGUUAGAUAUUACAUAGUUUGACAAAACUUCCAUUUUUUUGAAAAUUAGUUUCCUUAUAAAGUUGAAAGUAAAACUUGUAAGACAAAUUUUCAACUAUUCAUUCCAAUUUUAUUCGAAUUGAAAUAUAUUUUACAUGCACUUAGCAAUAAGCUAUUGCGCUGUGUCCUAACCCGUUUAAGAUUUUACUGAUUGUUAUUUUUGUAGUUGUUAUUUUGUAGUUUGUAUUUUUAUUUAAAAUUCAAGACAAAUAUUUGAUAGUUUAACCUUUAAUUUCACUUUGAACUUUUUAAAUAGUUGCAACAUCACUCUAAAUCGAUUUUUGCAUUAUGAGCACUCUGAACUUAUCAAUUUAGUUGUAAUUAUACCCUAAUUUGAAUUAAUAUCCAACUCAUUAUUUUUGUAUCUUAAAAUUGGUUCAAUUUUAAAAUAAAUGCUCAAUCUUGAUUUUUUUUAUUUAUUAUAUGAAUAUUUAAAUUUGAUUUUAUUAUUUAUUAUUUAAAUAUUUGGGUAUGGAGUCUAUUUUUUUAAAUUAUUUUAAUCAAAUUCCAAUCUUAGUUUACUUAUAAAGUGUAAUUGCAAUAAAUUGGCAAAUUUAUUGUGUUGUAAUUACACCUUAAAAUUAAAUUAUACUAUAAUUACAACUAAGUUAAUAAAUUCAGAAUGUUCAUAAUAUAAAGAUCAAUUUAAAGUAAAAUUACAACUAUUUAAAAAUUGGAUUGAAAUUGAAGGUUAGCUGCAUUUGAUUGUUACUUCGAUUGGAAUCACUGUCUCGCUGAUUUUUUUUUUUAAAAUAAAUUUUGAUAUGAAAACUGAAGCGCGUGUGAAGUGAAAGCUUCCCGCACGGAAGCAAUAAUUCUUCGCGAAACUCGCUUACCAGCUGCGUUUUUGUAGAAGAAGAUUUUAAAAGAAAAAAACAGAAAAUAAAUAAAUAAAUACUUCGUUUUUCGAUUUAAGACUGGAAUAACAAGUGUCUUCAAGAAUUGCGUUGUCGAAACGCCGCGUUUCCUAGUAUAUACACUCCACCCACAAAGAGAGAGAUUCCGGUGGUUGAGCUCUAAUGGCGGAGAAGCCCCAACCUGUCCGCGUUCUGUAUUGCUCAGUUUGCAGUUUACCCGCAGAGUACUGCGAAUUCGGCCCCGAUUUCGCGAAAUGCAAGCCCUGGUUGAUCCAAAACGCCCCUGACCUGUACCCCGAUCUCAUCAAAGGUUGCCCUAUUCCCUAUCCCUAAAUCACCUUUUAAUUUCUCUUUUUCUAUUUCCUUAUUAGAUAAAUAAUUUUAAUUAAUUUUUUUAUUAUUCCUGCAGAGGCAAAUGCCAAAGAAGCUGAUAAGGUUGCCGACCAGUUACAAUCCACUGGUAUCUCAUCGGGCGGUGCUGCUGCUACUCCUUCAGGUGACCUACUUUGGUCUAUGCAAUACAUGUUUAGAUACUUAUAUAUGAGCUUUUAGGUGUUUAACUAUUCAAACUGAUUCUUGGAAUGGAUUUUAUUUAUCUGUAUCUAAUUAUUGGAAUAGUGAAGAAAGAUGAAAUGGUAAUACAAAUAAUAUUUAUCAGUUCAUUGUGACUCAUUUAGGCUAGUUUAGUCGAAGUAAUGUGUUGAUAGCGUUUGAUUUUGGCAUUUAGGCACAAACAGUAAAAUUAGGGAAUGUUCUACUGGCUGAAAAUGAAGGGAAGCACAAAUAUUAGUUUGGUGCUAACUCUCAAGAGAGAGACUGUGUGAAAAAAGAAGAUUGCUCCUUGUGAAGCAUGGAAUCCAAAUUCGAUCAAACAUGAAUCUGAUUUACAACUGUUGCCACAUGUUUUCCUUUUUGCUAUCAUACAUAAAGAGCAUGGCUGUGAUUGUUAAUCAGUUAAUGAGUUAUGUGUGGUUCAAGAAUUUAAUUGGUUAAAGAGUUUACUCUGCUGUCAAUUUUUAUUUCAAAUUUUUGUGGUUCUGUUAUUAGGUAGUUCUUUUUCAAAAUCCUUUUUUUACCUAUUUUAUGCUUUGCUUACUUCUUGCUAUUAUUCAACAGAAUGUAAAUGGUGGCAAAGGAUUCAUAUAGCCGACCCCAACUAGUUUGGGACUAAGGCUUAGUUGCUGUUGUUGUUAUUAAGUUUUAAUUGAUAUCUGAGUUUUGUGACUUAUAUGUAACUAUGAUACUCUGGUGUCUGUGGCUGCAGGGAGUACUUCUGCUUCUAAAGAGGAAGAAGUGAAACGUCUUCCUGGUGGGAAGAUAAAGAAGAAAGUAAGAAUUCAGAAUGUUUCCCCUUUUCAAAUUAUUGAAAAUCUGCAGUUAACGAUUUUUGGUAUUUUUAAACAUUGUAAUCGAUAUUAGUAUAAUUGAUUUCUGCAUUGAAUCUGUUCUUUCAGGAGAAGCAAGAAGUUGUUAUUGAAAAAGUCACACGUAACAAGAGGAAAUGUAUCACCACUGUGAAAGGGCUGGACCUGUUUGGUGAGCAAUUUUUGCUGCUUCAAUCCUUUUCUUGUCAUUUGUUUUCUUGUUGUUAGCCCCCUCAACACACAUUUCCUCUCUCAUGGCAAUGGUGGUUUAGGUGUUAAACUUAGUGAUGCAUCAAAGAAACUUGGGAAAAAGUUUGCUACUGGAGCCUCUGUUGUUAAGGUAUGUAAUGUUUAUUGGGGGUAUGUGUUUCUUUUAUUGUUUCAUUGCUCAUGUUGUAUGCUUUCUGAUGGUUCAGGGUCCAACUGAGAAGGAGCAGAUUGAUGUGCAAGGAGACAUAGCCUAUGAUAUUGUGGACUUCAUUACAGAUACCUGGCCUGAUGUAAGAUAUUCAUCAUACUCUCCUUCAUAAAUUUUGUGUUAGCCUGUUAGGCCGCUCUCCUUGGUUGUAUUCAUAUCUUUACUAACCUAACUGUGAUUUCCCUUGGCUACUUCACAUUUUGGCUGGGCAUGCCAUUUUAUAAAAGGAACUUCUUCUUUGAGGAGAUUGAAUGGAUAUGAAAGACACUAAUUGCAGCCAAUGUUUUCCAUGCAGACUAUAUUUUAGUUCUCGUAAUUUUGAUUCUUGAUAAGAUUUACUCCCUUUGACAUACCUAGGAACUAAUGAGAUAAACACUAGAAAAGUAGACAUUUAGACACAUGCAGUUAUAAAAUUUAGAAUUUUGCUGUUAUUUAUAUAUUUAUAUUGGGAGGUUUGGGAUUAAGAGGAUGGUCAUUGUUUCAUUCGCUGGAAUAUCUAAAACGUUCCUUAUCAGCUAGGAAAACACGACACAGACUUGUCUCAUUCUCUGUUUCUGUUUAAGUCAAAGAUUUGUCUAUGGAAAGGUUAAAGGUCUUGAGGGUCUAAACUUCACGGAGUCAUAACUCCUCUGUUGAACAGUUGUAGUAAAGUAGAGAGGAAAAAUAGAGGCAGUCUUCAGACUUCCCAUGGGCAAGACCUACUUAUAUAGAGUCAAAGUUUCAAGCACAAUACAGACUUAAAGAGUCAAAGUUUGGCCCUCACUUUUUGGUGUGCUGUAGUCUUCACAUUUUCUAUGCUACUGUAGUUUUUAGAUGUUUGAUUAUGCAGGUUUUGAUUUAUUUUUUUUUUCCACCCUCCAUUAAGUCAUGACUCGUACAAUUUGUGAUAAACACAUCUAAGGGCGGCCACAGUCUGGUACAGAUUAGAACUGGAUCAGAACCAGCCCAACAACAGACUGUAUAGGAACCUGCCUCGAAGUUCUGGUUUUGAACAGGACCAGAACUGAGAGGGCCGUGCGGUUUCGCUUCCAGCCCCAUAGGAACUACCAGUUCAACCAGCGGUUUUGGUUAAAAAAGGGGCUGAAAUGGGCCCAACAGCUCGCUGGAACCAGCAGGCCUAGAACUGCUGGUUCGAUGUGAACUGGCCAGGUUUACACACAAUGUUAUAGUUCUUGAAAACGUCCUCUCUUAGUAUUAUUUUAUAAUUAUAUUAAAAUUAGCUAAGACAUUUUCUUUGUAAAUUUUCCUUUUUGCAGGUCCCAGAAACUGCAAUUUAUUUUAUUGAAGAUGGUAAAAAAGUCCCAGCAACUUGAUUCUGAAUUAUAGGUACAAUUAUACAAAUGGAUAUUGGGGUGUGGUGUCUUCCUCUUAGCAUGGCAUCGUCUGACCUCAAUGUAAUCUCAAGGUAAAGGGACUAGAGAGCAGAAUUUAAUCACUAAUGAAAUAUUUUGUUACUCUAUAAGAUCUCUUGUUUUCCUAAUUUCUGAAAGUAGAAAGUCUUCAAAACUAAUGGGUGCAAGUUGUACAGGGCAGUUUUCUGUGCUGUUUGCUUUUUUGUUUUUUU
RNAcentral lists this long non-coding RNA (8529 nucleotides) under Jatropha curcas. RNAcentral's name for it is "long non-coding RNA (JCUR_LNC001857)". The record is from RNAcentral. Lineage: Eukaryota; Viridiplantae; Streptophyta; Magnoliopsida; Malpighiales; Euphorbiaceae.